UACAGAGGGGGCAAGCGUUGUUCGGAAUUACUGGGCGUAAAGGGCGCGUAGGCGGCCUGUUAAGUCAGACGUGAAAUCCCCGGGCUCAACCCGGGAACUGCGUCUGAUACUGGCAGGCUUGAAUCCGGGAGAGGGAUGCGGAAUUCCAGGUGUAGCGGUGAAAUGCGUAGAUAUCUGGAGGAACACCGGUGGCGAAGGCGGCAUCCUGGACCGGCAUUGACGCUGAGGCGCGAAAGCGUGGGGAGCGAACAGG
RNAcentral lists this ribosomal RNA (253 nucleotides) under uncultured bacterium. RNAcentral describes it as "partial 16S ribosomal RNA". It matches the Rfam family "Bacterial small subunit ribosomal RNA", at positions 524 to 776 of the family's 1533-position model. The record is from RNAcentral.